Molecule: transfer RNA, 77 nt
Filed under: Chloroflexi bacterium 13_1_20CM_2_59_7
Lineage: Bacteria; Bacillati; Chloroflexota
Also listed under: 2 other names
Description: tRNA-Val
Rfam family: tRNA
About the family: Transfer RNA (tRNA) molecules are approximately 80 nucleotides in length. Their secondary structure includes four short double-helical elements and three loops (D, anti-codon, and T loops).
Source: RNAcentral
AGGCCCGUAGCUCAGUUGGUUAGAGCGCUUCCCUGACACGGAAGAGGUCUGCGGUUCAAGUCCGCACGGGCCUACCA